This 2927-nucleotide long non-coding RNA is filed under the name Gossypium barbadense (sea-island cotton). RNAcentral's name for it is "long non-coding RNA (GBAR_LNC017588)". The record is from RNAcentral. Lineage: Eukaryota; Viridiplantae; Streptophyta; Magnoliopsida; Malvales; Malvaceae.
UAAGAAUCAAAUUAUAAUUUUGUCAUAUAUUAAUUUAAGAUUUUAUGAUUUUUAAGGUUUAAAGUUUAGAAUCCAACUCAUUAUUUUUUGAAGGAACUCGAGAUUAAAUUAUAUAUUUUUUCGUUAGUUAAAAUGCAAUGUCACUAUUAUAUAUUUAUGAUUUUUGAAAAGAAUUAAAUUAAAAUUUUAAUAUUGUUAAGAGGUUAAACUAUAAUUUCACCAUGAACUUUGACAUAAAAAGCAGCAACUUCCGUUCUAGGGGAACCAAUGCUUGCCUUCCUACCUUCCUCUAACUUGAGUAUGUGUGUCUGAUACAUAAAUUUCUUGAUUCAAUUGAUGAAAAACCAGCGAGACAUGGCCGAAGAAACUGGUUGGCAAUGUUGGUUUCUAAACCUUUGUGGACAACACAACCAAUGUAUUGUACGGAAUAUCAAAAUGCAGCUCCCUCCAGCUGAAUUGGAACAUUUGCUUCAUUCCCAUCCAGAAAUCGUUGAUGUUGUGGUGAUUCCGUGCGUACUUUUUAUAUAUAUAUAUUAUCAUGUGUUCUUUAACUCACCAUCAUAAAUCUCAUAGCGAUUGAUCAGGUGUACCCGAUGAAGAAGUAGGGCAGAUUCCCAUGGCAUAUGUAGUCAAGAACCCUGGAAGUAAUAUUACAUAGGCACAAAUCAUGAAUUUCAUCGCAAAACAGGCAUGUUUCUAAAACAACACCACAAAUAAUACGUUGCCUUUUAUUUUAGGCAAAACUGUGAACCGGAUCCCCUUUUUUGACGCGCCAUACAAGAAAAUCCGACAAGUUGCUUUUAUAAAUUCAAUACCAAAAACUCCGGCAGGGAAGAUAUUGAGGAGGGAACUCAUUAAUCACUCUCUAUCUCAUGGCUUAUCUAAAUUAUAGCGGCGAAUAUUAACAAUAGACUUUGAAGCCUACUUAAUUAUGCAACAAAUAGAAUUAUUUGAAUCCCAUAUAAAAGCUAAGUAAACUUUCUACCUAAAUGAUAGAGCUAAAUGAUCAAAAUUUCAUUAUAUCAUGAGUUCAAAAUUUACCAUAAAUUAUUUUAUUAAUACCAUAUAGAACUGUAGAAAAAUUAAACCAAUUUACUUUGUAUAUUUACUGUGGAUAUAAAAAAAUUAAUAAUCUUUUAACAAAAUUGUUUACUCGUAACAUUAACUCAAUGACAUAAUAUAAGUAUAGAUAUGUACCUUUAUAGUGUAUUAUCAAUGAGAUAUCAAUGAGAACUAUAUAUGUAAGUUCUGCACUAAUAAAAACCAAAAAGAUUUUAAAAACCAGUUUAUUAAUUCAUGUGCAAUAAAUAUAAGAAAACAAAAUACAUAAAUAAUAAUAUUAGAAAAAUAUUUAGUAGACUGUUACUCAAAAUAGUCAAAGAUUAAUACAUGCCCGAUAAGAGUAUAGCAAAAUAUUAAAUAAUAAAUACUUGUAAUUUAAUUAAGAAAAAGAUUUGUUAUGGGUGGAAACAAAAGCAUCCCCAUAAUAAAUUGACCCACAUGCCAUAGAAAAACUAUACAUAGUGGCCAAUCCUAAAAAAUACCAUGAAAUUUAUAUGGAAAAAAUCAUGAACCGCGGCUUACACAAGAAAGAAUGUAGCUAUAUUCUUUCUAUUUUAGAUAUUAUAAUCAAAAUUAAUAUCAUGAAUAAAAUAAAUUCUACCAAUUAUAUUCAAUGUCAAGGUAUAUAUAGCUUGAAAUAUGGAAAACUUAAGCCUGGGGUGUACAAGCCCAAAUAUGCCCGGGCCCAGACCAACAAACAAGCCCAAACAUUUAACCCUAGCCCAAUCACUAAAUUGCCCAAUACUUAAAUAAAAGCAGAAAACCCUAGUAGCAGCAAGUAGCCGCCGCCCUCAAACACCCCAGCAGUCUCCAGUCGCCGCAAGUUUCGGCCUCCACGCGUGCCGUUUCCACCACGUUCGCUUGCAAAACGGACUAAAAGAGUCCGAAGAAAAAAAACAGCAAAAUAGCAACUAUAUUUGAUCUAUUUUUUCUUCUUUUUCAAGCUAUAUAUAAAGCCAUUUCAUUUUUGUAAAAAAAGAAGAGAUUCUGUAACUUCCAUUGAAAUAAUACGAAAAACAGUGAUUGAAAGUAAGGAGCAAGUUUCCUUUCAUUUUUCCCCAUUCUUUUGCUUUAGUUUUUUUUUAUUAUUAUUCAAAAAAGCAUAAAAAGGAGAAAGAGUAACGUACCUUGCUCUCAGAUCUGCUAAAAAAGGGGGUUAAAAACCCAUUCCGGCGAGCCUCCGGCCACUGGUUGCGGCGAAACCGUGGCGAACGGAUGGCGGCGGCUUGGGGUAUGAAACCCUAGCAGACAAGGGAGUGGAUUUAAGUUUUUGUUUUUUUGUUAACUUUAAAUGAUAUUUUUGCAAAAAAGAGGGUUUAAAUAGAAACACCGAAACGGUGUCGUUUUUACUAAAGCAGACCCGCGCGGUGACCCGACCCGAUGGGAAGGAUCCGCGCGUUCUUGCUUUUGAUGGUACAAUUGUGCAUUUAGUCCCCUUUUUUGCGUUGUGUUUCAAUUAAAUCCUUUUGUCUCUUUUUUAAAUUGAGCCGCAUAUUUUUAUUUUGUUUUUCAAUUUAGCCCAUUGCUGCGCACUGUUUAGAGGGAAAUGGAUUAUUUCCAUUUUAGGCCCCUCAUAUAAUGCGUACAUCGCAAUUCGGCCCCCCGUUUCGUUUUAAUUACAUUUCUUCUUUGCAAUUCAAUUGUGUUUUUGUUCUAGAAAAAGAAAAUUGAUGCUUACUGUCAUUAUUCUCAUUAUUGUUUAUUACUAUUUGUAUUAUUUUAUUAGUUUUAUAUUUAUAUGCAUGCGACGUCUUUAUAUAAUAUGUAUAUAUUGUCUUAUAUUACUUAUGCAUAUAUCAUACAUAGGUUUUAUUUUAUUUCCUAACUUUUAUAUACAUAUAUAAAUAUUUUCAUAUUUUAGUUUU